CCUCAGUUCUUUACUAGUAAAUUCCGCACACACAAACACACACUUGGACAUAUAAACGCACGAAUAAAUAUACACAUAAUUAUGGCUGAGAAGGCAGGGGAUUUGGGCAGUGACAAGGGAAAAGGUGGAAGCAGUGCUGAUGAGAAAAGGUCAGGCUUCCCAAAGAAAGAUGGAAGUUUGAUUCCCAAGCCUAGGGAGUGUGUUUCGACCAAAGUGCUUAAGAAAGUUGGGGGAUCACUUGCUGACUAUGUUAAAUCGGACGACAAAAACAGCAAGAUCAAGCCUAGCAAUGGGGAAAAUGCGACAUCAGAUUGACUGAUGAUCAGCUUCCAGCAGCAUAUAGAUGCUGAAAUAUUGCUUGUUUGCAUCGUAAAUUAUUGCUCUUUUUUUGGGGUUGAGUUGUAGUACUACUACUUUUAAGGUGUGCUUCAAGUCCCUUGCCCCAUCUCUGUUUCUUAAAUUU
Molecule: long non-coding RNA, 463 nt
Filed under: Coffea arabica (coffee)
Lineage: Eukaryota; Viridiplantae; Streptophyta; Magnoliopsida; Gentianales; Rubiaceae
Description: long non-coding RNA (CARA_LNC006933)
Source: RNAcentral